CAAUAGCGUAUAUUUAAGUUGUUGCAGUUAAAAAGCUCGUAGUUGGAUUUCGGAUGGGACUUGCCGGUCCGUCGUUGCGAUGUGCACUGGCCAGUCCUAUCUUGUUGUCGGGGACUAGCUCUUGGUCUUCACUGGCCGGGACUAGGAGCUGACGAGGUUACUUUGAGUAAAUUAGAGUGUUCAAAGCAAGCCUACGCUCUGAAUACAUUAGCAUGGAAUAACACGAUAGGACUCUGGCUUAUCUUGUUGGUCUGUGAGACCAGAGUAAUGAUUAAGAGGGACAGUCGGGGACAUUCGUAUUUCAUUGUCAGAGGUGAAAUUCUUGGAUUUAUGAAAGACGAACUUCUGCGAAAGCAUUUGUCAAGGAUGUUUNCAUUA
RNAcentral lists this ribosomal RNA (378 nucleotides) under uncultured eukaryote. RNAcentral describes it as "partial 18S ribosomal RNA". It matches the Rfam family "Eukaryotic small subunit ribosomal RNA", at positions 592 to 975 of the family's 1831-position model. The record is from RNAcentral.